AGAAUCAACGCUGGCGGCGUGCCUAACACAUGCAAGUCGAACGAGAAAGGGGUAGCAAUACCCUGAGUAAAGUGGCGCACGGGUGAGUAACACGUGACUAACCUACCCUUGAGUGGGGGAUAACUGAGGGAAACCUUAGCUAAUACCGCAUAAUACCCACGGGUCAAAGGAGCAAUUCGCUCGAGGAGGGGGUCGCGGCCGAUUAGUUGGUUGGCGGGGUAAUGGCCCACCAAGACGAUGAUCGGUAUCCGGCCUGAGAGGGGCGCGACGGAACGACGACCUAGGAACGUGAAACACGGUCCAGACUCCUACGGGAGGCAGCAGUGGGGAAUUUGCGCAAUGGGGGAAACCCUGACGCAGCAACGCCGCGUGGAGGAUGAAGUCCUUCGGGACGUAAACUCCUUUCGAUCGGGACGAUAAUGACGGUACCGGAAGAAGAAGCCCCGGCUAACUUCGUGCCAGCAGCCGC
This 469-nucleotide ribosomal RNA is filed under the name uncultured bacterium. RNAcentral describes it as "SSU rRNA". It matches the Rfam family "Bacterial small subunit ribosomal RNA", at positions 26 to 518 of the family's 1533-position model. The record is from RNAcentral.